Molecule: ribosomal RNA, 243 nt
Filed under: uncultured bacterium
Lineage: Bacteria
Description: partial 16S ribosomal RNA
Rfam family: Bacterial small subunit ribosomal RNA
Source: RNAcentral
CCGGCGCACGGGUGAGUAACACGUAUGCAAUCCACCUGUAACAGGGGGAUAACCCGGAGAAAUCCGGACUAAUACCCCAUAAUAUGGGCGUUCCGCAUGGAGAGCCCAUUAAAGAGAGCAAUUUUGGUUACAGACGAGCAUGCGCUCCAUUAGCCAGUUGGCGGGGUAACGGCCCACCAAAGCGACGAUGGAUAGGGGUUCUGAGAGGAAGGUCCCCCACAUUGGAACUGAGACACGGUCCAA